AAAUUGAAGAGUUUGAUCAUGGCUCAGAUUGAACGCUGGCGGCAGGCCUAACACAUGCAAGUCGAACGGUAACAGGAAGCAGCUUGCUGCUUUGCUGACGAGUGGCGGACGGGUGAGUAAUGUCUGGGAAACUGCCUGAUGGAGGGGGAUAACUACUGGAAACGGUGGCUAAUACCGCAUAACGUCGCAAGACCAAAGAGGGGGACCUUCGGGCCUCUUGCCAUCAGAUGUGCCCAGAUGGGAUUAGCUUGUUGGUGAGGUAACGGCUCACCAAGGCGACGAUCCCUAGCUGGUCUGAGAGGAUGACCAGCCACACUGGAACUGAGACACGGUCCAGACUCCUACGGGAGGCAGCAGUGGGGAAUAUUGCACAAUGGGCGCAAGCCUGAUGCAGCCAUGCCGCGUGUAUGAAGAAGGCCUUCGGGUUGUAAAGUACUUUCAGCGGGGAGGAAGGUGUUGUGGUUAAUAACUGCAGCAAUUGACGUUACCCGCAGAAGAAGCACCGGCUAACUCCGUGCCAGCAGCCGCGGUAAUACGGAGGGUGCAAGCGUUAAUCGGAAUUACUGGGCGUAAAGCGCACGCAGGCGGUCUGUCAAGUCGGAUGUGAAAUCCCCGGGCUCAACCUGGGAACUGCAUUCGAAACUGGCAGGCUUGAGUCUUGUAGAGGGGGGUAGAAUUCCAGGUGUAGCGGUGAAAUGCGUAGAGAUCUGGAGGAAUACCGGUGGCGAAGGCGGCCCCCUGGACAAAGACUGACGCUCAGGUGCGAAAGCGUGGGGAGCAAACAGGAUUAGAUACCCUGGUAGUCCACGCCGUAAACGAUGUCUACUUGGAGGUUGUGCCCUUGAGGCGUGGCUUCCGGAGCUAACGCGUUAAGUAGACCGCCUGGGGAGUACGGCCGCAAGGUUAAAACUCAAAUGAAUUGACGGGGGCCCGCACAAGCGGUGGAGCAUGUGGUUUAAUUCGAUGCAACGCGAAGAACCUUACCUGGUCUUGACAUCCACGGAAGAAUUCAGAGAUGGAUUUGUGCCUUCGGGAACCGUGAGACAGGUGCUGCAUGGCUGUCGUCAGCUCGUGUUGUGAAAUGUUGGGUUAAGUCCCGCAACGAGCGCAACCCUUAUCCUUUGUUGCCAGCGGUCCGGCCGGGAACUCAAAGGAGACUGCCAGUGAUAAACUGGAGGAAGGUGGGGAUGACGUCAAGUCAUCAUGGCCCUUACGACCAGGGCUACACACGUGCUACAAUGGCGCAUACAAAGAGAAGCGACCUCGCGAGAGCAAGCGGACCUCAUAAAGUGCGUCGUAGUCCGGAUUGGAGUCUGCAACUCGACUCCAUGAAGUCGGAAUCGCUAGUAAUCGUGGAUCAGAAUGCCACGGUGAAUACGUUCCCGGGCCUUGUACACACCGCCCGUCACACCAUGGGAGUGGGUUGCAAAAGAAGUAGGUAGCUUAACCUUCGGGAGGGCGCUUACCACUUUGUGAUUCAUGACUGGGGUGAAGUCGUAACAAGGUAACCGUAGGGGAACCUGCGGUUGGAUCACCUCCUUACCUUAAAGAAGC
RNAcentral lists this ribosomal RNA (1554 nucleotides) under Salmonella enterica. RNAcentral's name for it is "bacterial SSU rRNA". It matches the Rfam family "Bacterial small subunit ribosomal RNA". Lineage: Bacteria; Pseudomonadati; Pseudomonadota; Gammaproteobacteria; Enterobacterales; Enterobacteriaceae. The record is from RNAcentral.